Molecule: ribosomal RNA, 633 nt
Filed under: Methylobacterium radiotolerans
Lineage: Bacteria; Pseudomonadati; Pseudomonadota; Alphaproteobacteria; Hyphomicrobiales; Methylobacteriaceae
Description: bacterial SSU rRNA
Rfam family: Bacterial small subunit ribosomal RNA
Source: RNAcentral
GUGAAUACGCGUGGGAACGUGCCUUCUGGUUCGGAAUAACCCUGGGAAACUAGGGCUAAUACCGGAUACGCCCUUUUGGGGAAAGGUUUACUGCCGGAAGAUCGGCCCGCGUCUGAUUAGCUAGUUGGUGGGGUAACGGCCUACCAAGGCGACGAUCAGUAGCUGGUCUGAGAGGAUGAUCAGCCACACUGGGACUGAGACACGGCCCAGACUCCUACGGGAGGCAGCAGUGGGGAAUAUUGGACAAUGGGCGCAAGCCUGAUCCAGCCAUGCCGCGUGAGUGAUGAAGGCCUUAGGGUUGUAAAGCUCUUUUAUCCGGGACGAUAAUGACGGUACCGGAGGAAUAAGCCCCGGCUAACUUCGUGCCAGCAGCCGCGGUAAUACGAAGGGGGCUAGCGUUGCUCGGAAUCACUGGGCGUAAAGGGCGCGUAGGCGGCGUUUUAAGUCGGGGGUGAAAGCCUGUGGCUCAACCACAGAAUGGCCUUCGAUACUGGGACGCUUGAGUAUGGUAGAGGUUGGUGGAACUGCGAGUGUAGAGGUGAAAUUCGUAGAUAUUCGCAAGAACACCGGUGGCGAAGGCGGCCAACUGGACCAUCACUGACGCUGAGGCGCGAAAGCGUGGGGAGCAAACAG